Molecule: ribosomal RNA, 494 nt
Filed under: uncultured bacterium
Lineage: Bacteria
Description: partial 16S ribosomal RNA
Rfam family: Bacterial small subunit ribosomal RNA
Source: RNAcentral
GACGAACGCUGGCGGCGUGCCUAAUACAUGCAAGUAGAACGCUGAAGGAGGAGCUUGCUUCUCUGGAUGAGUUGCGAACGGGUGAGUAACGCGUAGGUAACCUGCCUGGUAGCGGGGGAUAACUAUUGGAAACGAUAGCUAAUACCGCAUAAUAGUAGAUGUUGCAUGACAUUUGCUUAAAAGGUGCAAUUGCAUCACUACCAGAUGGACCUGCGUUGUAUUAGCUAGUUGGUGGGGUAACGGCUCACCAAGGCGACGAUACAUAGCCGACCUGAGAGGGUGAUCGGCCACACUGGGACUGAGACACGGCCCAGACUCCUACGGGAGGCAGCAGUAGGGAAUCUUCGGCAAUGGACGGAAGUCUGACCGAGCAACGCCGCGUGAGUGAAGAAGGUUUUCGGAUCGUAAAGCUCUGUUGUAAGAGAAGAACGAGUGUGAGAGUGGAAAGUUCGCACUGUGACGGUAUCUUACCAGAAAGGGGCGGCUAACUACGU